CCCUUAGAUGUUCUGGGCCGCACGCGUGCUACACUGAGUGGAUCAGCGGGUCAGGUUGCGCGAAAGCGUUUCCUAAUCUUUAAAUCCGCUCGUGAUGGGGAUUGACGGUUGCAAUUUUCUGUCAUGAACGAGGAAUACCUUGUAAGCGCGGGUCAUCAUCCCGCGCUGAAUACGUCCCUGCCCUUUGUACACACCGCCCGUCGCUCCUACCGAUUGAGUGGUCCGGUGAAUAAUUCGGACUGCAGCACUGCUUGGUCUCCAGGCUUUGCAGCGGAAAGUUUAGUGAACCUUAUCACUUAGAGGAAGGAGAAGUCGUAACA
RNAcentral lists this ribosomal RNA (320 nucleotides) under uncultured eukaryote. Its description in RNAcentral is "partial 18S ribosomal RNA". It matches the Rfam family "Eukaryotic small subunit ribosomal RNA", at positions 1470 to 1796 of the family's 1831-position model. The record is from RNAcentral.